Molecule: ribosomal RNA, 624 nt
Filed under: Apiotrichum gamsii
Lineage: Eukaryota; Fungi; Basidiomycota; Tremellomycetes; Trichosporonales; Trichosporonaceae
Description: eukaryotic LSU rRNA
Rfam family: Eukaryotic large subunit ribosomal RNA
Source: RNAcentral
UAAGCGGAGGAAAAGAAACUAACAAGGAUUCCCUUAGUAACGGCGAGUGAACCGGGAAGAGCUCAAAUUUGAAAUCUGGCAGUCUUCGAUUGUCCGAGUUGUAAUCUAUAGAAGCGUUUUCCGUGCUGAACUGUGUAUAAGUCCCUUGGAACAGGGUAUCAAAGAGGGUGACAAUCCCGUACUUUACACAAUCAUCAGUGCUCUGUGAUACGUUCUCUACGAGUCGAGUUGUUUGGGAAUGCAGCUCAAAAUGGGUGGUAAAUUCCAUCUAAAGCUAAAUAUUGGCGAGAGACCGAUAGCGAACAAGUACCGUGAGGGAAAGAUGAAAAGCACUUUGGAAAGAGAGUUAAACAGUACGUGAAAUUGUUGAAAGGGAAACGAUUGAAGUCAGUCGUGUUCAUUGGAUUCAGCCGGUCUUCGGUGUAUUUCCUUUGAACGGGUCAACAUCAGUUUUGUCCGGUGGAUAAAGGUAAUAGGAAGGUGGCUCCUCCGGGAGUGUUAUAGCCUAUUGCCCAUACACUGGGUGAGACUGAGGACUGCAGCUUGCCUUUAUGGCCGGGGUUCGCCCACGUUCAAGCUUAGGAUGUUGACAUAAUGGCUUUAAACGACCCGUCUUGAAACACG